Molecule: RNA transcript, 1537 nt
Organism: Caenorhabditis elegans
Lineage: Eukaryota; Metazoa; Nematoda; Chromadorea; Rhabditida; Rhabditidae
Gene: T07D3.9
Gene name: Non-coding transcript of protein-coding gene T07D3.9c
Exons: 6
Source: RefSeq, marked reviewed
AUGAUCGCUCGCCACAUUGCAAAUCGGAUUUCUCGGUUUUCGCAGACCAGAAGCCUUAGGACUAUAUUUCCAAAGACUACAGUAUCCAUCGCUUCAAGACCCUUCUCCACAGACCCCGAUUCGUUAGUCGACAAGAUGGUGUCUUCCACGUUCUGUCACGUGGCAAAAUGUCAGCCGGACAGUUUUAGUGAGGAGGAAAAGAAUAGCAAGAAGCUGGAGCCACGGACCAUUUCUCACAGUUAUCGGAAGUUUGUCAUCCCGCUCAGCACGGACACCAACAAGCAGAAGCAGUACCUGAGCGCCGCAAGAAGUGUUCGUCUUGGCAAAAUUCUGGAAGACCUGGACCACAUGGCCGUCCACGUGGCAUACGUGCACAAUUCGGACAACGGGACCCUCGACGAGCCAAUGACACUGCCCAGAACAAUUGUGACGGCGUCGGUGAAGCGUAUCGAUUUUCAUGACAUCGAAAUGCACCCAUCCCGUGACGUUAUCAUUGAUGGGCAAGUGACCUAUGCUGGAACGAGCAGCAUGCAAGUCUGCCUCAGAUUGUUCCAGAAUGAUGAGAUUGGGAAUUUGAAUCAGCUGCUCAAAGCGGAAUUCAUUAUGGUCUCGCGGGAUCCUCUGGACGCUUCCAAGAAGGUGCGAGUUCACGGUUUGACAGCAAAAACUCCGGAUGAAGCCGAAACUAUUAACAAGACAAAGGAGCACUUUAGGCGGAUGGGCAGCUCGACGAACAAGCAGCCGACAAAUGAGGAGUUUCAAGUGAUUCACAACAUGUAUAGUGAGCUCGUUGGCAGAAGCAUGGUGCACGAUGUGGCGGUACUUUCAAACACUGAAAUGUGGAUGCACAAGACAAACCUCUCGGUCACUGAAAUCUGCUUCCCAGAAUACCAAAACAUGUACGGAAAGAUUUUCGGCGGUUUCUUGAUGCGAAAAGCCUUGGAGCUGGCUCACACGAACGCCAAGCUCUACUGCAAAGGUCGUGUUGCCAUCCGAUCCAUGGAUCAGAUUGAGUUCCAGAAGCCUGUGGAAAUUGGGCAUGUCCUGCACUUUGACUCAUUCGUCACAUACACCGAUGGAAAAUAUGUGCAGGUGAAGGUAGCGGCGACGAUUUCGGAUCAGCACAAGCUCCCCGAGCUCGCCAAGUUGAAUCAUCCGACGCUCGGUGAAGAGGUGAGGAGAAGCUUGAAGAGCUUAAAGACUCAAGUUUCCGAUUUGUAUGAUUUUGUAGGCUCGCGUCAACACAAAUGUGUUCAACUUCACGAUGGAAAGCGUCGAGAAUCCGAAUGUGCUCCGUGUGGUUCCAAAGCACUAUGUGCACACCACAAGCUACCUGGAAGGACGUCGGCUGCUGAACAAUACGCUGAAAAGAAUUGUGAAAUAAGCUUAUUCUCAAAACAUUGAACUUGUUUUGUUAAUAUUAGAGAACCAUGAAUGUAUCAUCAGAAAAAAGUUCUUGUUUUCUACUUUAGAGAACUCGAGGUAUUUCUAGAAAACCUGUUGUCUCUUCAAUAAAAACCGUAGGAUACGUACUAGU